GAUGAACGCUGGCGGCGUGCCUAAUACAUGCAAGUCGAGCGAACAGACGAGGAGCUUGCUCCUCUGACGUUAGCGGCGGACGGGUGAGUAACACGUGGAUAACCUACCUAUAAGACUGGGAUAACUUCGGGAAACCGGAGCUAAUACCGGAUAAUAUAUUGAACCGCAUGGUUCAAUAGUGAAAGACGGUUUUGCUGUCACUUAUAGAUGGAUCCGCGCCGCAUUAGCUAGUUGGUAAGGUAACGGCUUACCAAGGCAACGAUGCGUAGCCGACCUGAGAGGGUGAUCGGCCACACUGGAACUGAGACACGGUCCAGACUCCUACGGGAGGCAGCAGUAGGGAAUCUUACGCAAUGGGCGAAAGCCUGACGGAGCAACGCCGCGUGAGUGAUGAAGGUCUUCGGAUCGUAAAACUCUGUUAUUAGGGAAGAACAAAUGUGUAAGUAACUAUGCACGUCUUGACGGUACCUAAUUAGAAAGCCACGGCUAACUACGUG
Molecule: ribosomal RNA, 497 nt
Filed under: uncultured bacterium
Lineage: Bacteria
Description: partial 16S ribosomal RNA
Rfam family: Bacterial small subunit ribosomal RNA
Source: RNAcentral